Molecule: non-coding RNA, 216 nt
Filed under: Lachancea fermentati
Lineage: Eukaryota; Fungi; Ascomycota; Saccharomycetes; Saccharomycetales; Saccharomycetaceae
Description: Bacterial large subunit ribosomal RNA
Rfam family: Bacterial large subunit ribosomal RNA
Source: Rfam by way of RNAcentral
GUUGUCCAACUGUUUACUAAAAACACCGCACUUUGCAGAAACGAUAAGUUAAAGUAUAAGGUGUGAACUCUGCUCCAUGCUUAAUAUAUAAAUUAUAUUAUUAAAAGAUAAUAUAAUUAAAUUUAGGUAAAUAGCAGCCUUAUUUUGAGGGUUCUAAGGUAGCGAAAUUCAUUGUCCACUAAUUAUGGUCCUGCAUGAAUGACGUAAUGAUACAAC